This 70-nucleotide transfer RNA is filed under the name Camelus bactrianus (Bactrian camel). It matches the Rfam family "tRNA". Rfam says of the family: Transfer RNA (tRNA) molecules are approximately 80 nucleotides in length. Their secondary structure includes four short double-helical elements and three loops (D, anti-codon, and T loops). Further hydrogen bonds mediate the characteristic L-shaped molecular structure. tRNAs have two regions of fundamental functional importance: the anti-codon, which is responsible for specific mRNA codon recognition, and the 3' end, to which the tRNAs corresponding amino acid is attached (by aminoacyl-tRNA synthetases). tRNAs cope with the degeneracy of the genetic code in two manners: having more than one tRNA (with a specific anti-codon) for a particular amino acid; and 'wobble' base-pairing, i.e. permitting non-standard base-pairing at the 3rd anti-codon position. The record is from Rfam by way of RNAcentral. RNAcentral also lists the same sequence under 1 other name. Lineage: Eukaryota; Metazoa; Chordata; Mammalia; Artiodactyla; Camelidae.
GGAUAUAGCUUGGUGGUAGAGUGCAUGCCUUGUAUGCAUAAGGUCCAGGGUUCAAUCCCCAGUGCCUCCA